RNAcentral lists this transfer RNA (62 nucleotides) under Byturus ochraceus. RNAcentral describes it as "tRNA-Arg". Lineage: Eukaryota; Metazoa; Arthropoda; Insecta; Coleoptera; Byturidae. The record is from RNAcentral.
AAAUAAGAAGCAAAUAUUGCAUUUAGUUUCGACCUAAAAUUUUGGUUAUUAACCCUUAUUUU